Molecule: long non-coding RNA, 147 nt
Organism: Nothoprocta perdicaria
Lineage: Eukaryota; Metazoa; Chordata; Aves; Tinamiformes; Tinamidae
Exons: 2
Source: RefSeq, a predicted model, not a curated record
GGAUGACAAAUAAAAAAGAAAGAGGUUUGGACUCUAACCAGGCUUUAGAAUUACGGACACUUCGCCCGAAAGGAAGGAAAAUCGGAUUUAAGCGGACGCCUUGGAGUUUGCGGCUCCCCCCUAGGACGGAGGCGGCCCGGAGCCCCC